RNAcentral lists this ribosomal RNA (756 nucleotides) under uncultured bacterium. Its description in RNAcentral is "bacterial SSU rRNA". It matches the Rfam family "Bacterial small subunit ribosomal RNA", at positions 28 to 775 of the family's 1533-position model. The record is from RNAcentral.
AUUGAACGCUGYGUCGGCGUGCCUAACACAUGCAAGUCGAGCGGUAACAGGUGUAGCAAUACAUGCUGACGAGCGGCGAACGGGUGAGUAAUGCUUUGGAAUCUUCCCAGUAGUGGGGAAUAACCAGUCGAAAGAUUGGCUAAUACCGCAUACGUCUGUAAAGGGAAAGCGGGGGACUCGUAAGAACCUCGCGCUAUUGGAUGAGCCAAAGUCGGAUUAGCUAGUUGGUGGGGUAAUGGCCUACCAAGGCGACAAUCCGUAGCUGGUCUGAGAGGACGACCAGCCACACCGGAACUGAGACACGGUCCGGACUCCUACGGGAGGCAGCAGUGGGGAAUAUUGGACAAUGGGGGAAACCCUGAUCCAGCGACGCCGCGUGUGUGAAGAAGGCCUGCGGGUUGUAAAGCACUUUUAGUGGGGACAAAAAGCUACGGAUUAAUACUCUGUGGUCUUGAUUUAACCCAAAGAAAAAGCACCGGCUAACUCUGUGCCAGCAGCCGCGGUAAUACAGAGGGUGCGAGCGUUAAUCGGAAUUACUGGGCGUAAAGCGCGCGUAGACGGUUUUGUAAGUCAGAUGUGAAAUCCCUGGGCUCAACCUGRGAACUGCAUUUGAUACUGCAUGGCUAGAGUAUCGAAGAGGGAAGUGGAAUUUCCGGUGUAGCGGUGAAAUGCGUAUAUAUCGGAGGGACACCAGUGGCGAAGCGACUUCCWGGUCGAAUACUGACGUUCAUGUGCGAAAGCGUGMRGAGCAAACAK